GACGAACGCUGGCGGCGUGCUUAACACAUGCAAGUCGAGCGGUAAGGCCCUUUCGGGGGUACACGAGCGGCGAACGGGUGAGUAACACGUGGGUGACCUGCCCUCAGCUCUGGGAUAAGCCUGGGAAACUGGGUCUAAUACUGGAUAUGACUCCACGGUGCAUGUCGUGGGGUGGAAAGCCUUGUGCGGCUGAGGAUGGGCCCGCGGCCUAUCAGCUUGUUGGUGGGGUGANGGCCUACCAAGGCGACGACGGGUAGCCGGCCUGAGAGGGCGACCGGCCACACUGGGACUGAGACACGGCCCAGACUCCUACGGGAGGCAGCAGUGGGGAAUCUUGCGCAAUGCGCGAAAGCGUGACGCAGCAACGCCGCGUGGGGAAGACGGCCU
Molecule: ribosomal RNA, 387 nt
Filed under: uncultured bacterium
Lineage: Bacteria
Description: bacterial SSU rRNA
Rfam family: Bacterial small subunit ribosomal RNA
Source: RNAcentral